RNAcentral lists this ribosomal RNA (253 nucleotides) under uncultured bacterium. RNAcentral describes it as "partial 16S ribosomal RNA". It matches the Rfam family "Bacterial small subunit ribosomal RNA", at positions 524 to 776 of the family's 1533-position model. The record is from RNAcentral.
UACGUAGGGGGCAAGCGUUGUCCGGAAUCAUUGGGCGUAAAGCGCGCGUAGGCGGCCCGGUAAGUCCGUUGUGAAAGUCAAAGGCUCAACCUUUGAACGCCGAUGGAUACUGCCGGGCUAGAGUCCGGAAGAGGCGAGUGGAAUUCCUGGUGCAGCGGUGGAAUGCGCAGAUAUCAGGAGGAACACCAAUAGCGAAGGCAGCUCGCUGGGACGGUACUGACGCUGAGGCGCGAAAGCGUGGGGAGCGAACAGG